RNAcentral lists this ribosomal RNA (284 nucleotides) under Faecalibacterium prausnitzii. RNAcentral's name for it is "partial 16S ribosomal RNA". It matches the Rfam family "Bacterial small subunit ribosomal RNA", at positions 492 to 776 of the family's 1533-position model. Lineage: Bacteria; Bacillati; Bacillota; Clostridia; Eubacteriales; Oscillospiraceae. The record is from RNAcentral.
UAUGGUAAUUGUGUGCCAGCCUCUUCUUUACAACGUAGGUCACAAGCGUUGUCCGGAAUUACUGGGUGUAAAGGGAGCGCAGGCGGGAAGACAAGUUGGAAGUGAAAUCUAUGGGCUCAACCCAUAAACUGCUUUCAAAACUGUUUUUCUUGAGUAGUGCAGAGGUAGGCGGAAUUCCCGGUGUAGCGGUGGAAUGCGUAGAUAUCGGGAGGAACACCAGUGGCGAAGGCGGCCUACUGGGCACCAACUGACGCUGAGGCUCGAAAGUGUGGGUAGCAAACAGG